This 517-nucleotide ribosomal RNA is filed under the name Candida tropicalis. Its description in RNAcentral is "eukaryotic LSU rRNA". It matches the Rfam family "Eukaryotic large subunit ribosomal RNA", at positions 118 to 655 of the family's 3401-position model. The record is from RNAcentral. Lineage: Eukaryota; Fungi; Ascomycota; Pichiomycetes; Serinales; Debaryomycetaceae.
AUCUGGCUCUUUCAGAGUCGAGUUGUAUUUGAAGAAGGUAUCUUUGGGUCUGGCUCUUGUCUAUGUUUCUUGGAACAGAACGUCACAGAGGGUGAGAAUCCCGUGCGAUGAGAUGAUCCAGGCCUAUGUAAAGUUCCUUCGAAGAGUCGAGUUGUUUGGGAAUGCAGCUCUAAGUGGGUGGUAAAUUCCAUCUAAAGCUAAAUAUUGGCGAGAGACCGAUAGCGAACAAGUACAGUGAUGGAAAGAUGAAAAGAACUUUGAAAAGAGAGUGAAAAAGUACGUGAAAUUGUUGAAAGGGAAGGGCUUGAGAUCAGACUUGGUAUUUUGUAUGUUACUUCUUCGGGGGUGGCCUCUACAGUUUAUCGGGCCAGCAUCAGUUUGGGCGGUAGGAGAAUUGCGUUGGAAUGUGGCACGGCUUCGGUUGUGUGUUAUAGCCUUCGUCGAUACUGCCAGCCUAGACUGAGGACUGCGGUUUAUACCUAGGAUGUUGGCAUAAUGAUCUUAAGUCGCCCGUCUU